UACGGAGGGGGCUAGCGUUGUUCGGAAUUACUGGGCGUAAAGCGCACGUAGGCGGCUUUUUAAGUCAGAGGUGAAAGCCCGGGGCUCAACCCCGGAAUUGCCUUUGAGACUGGAUCGCUUGAAUCAUGGAGAGGUCAGUGGAAUUCCGGAGUGUAGAGGUGAAAUUCGUAGAUAUUCGGAAGAACACCAGUGGCGAAGGCGGCUGACUGGACAUGUAUUGACGCUGAGGUGCGAAAGCGUGGGGAGCGAACAGG
This 254-nucleotide ribosomal RNA is filed under the name uncultured bacterium. RNAcentral describes it as "partial 16S ribosomal RNA". It matches the Rfam family "Bacterial small subunit ribosomal RNA", at positions 524 to 776 of the family's 1533-position model. The record is from RNAcentral.